CAGAGAAAUGCAGCUGCUAUAGCAACGAGAUACAGUCACCAAUUCUUCCAGUAAACAAAAUACUCCAUAAGGAAAAUGCAGACAUCAAGGCAGGAAAAACACAGUCACAAAGGCCUCCAGUAGUAAAAAGCAAUCCAGGAUAUUUAUUGUAACAAAAGAAACAUGAAGCGCUCUAGAUUAACAACAAAGAAUCAGUGAUCGGUGACCGAGCUAAAAAGUGCUGGAGAAAUGUCCCAGAUCAGGAAUAAUUGUCGGGCAUUGCUACCAUUUACUUAUGAUGUUGCUGGAGUAAGAUCAUUUGAAUUAAAUAUGAGACCAUGGCUAUAUUAUUUUUUCAAAGAUGCAACCUCACCAUAAAAAAAUUACUGACUGAAAGUAAUCUAUAUACAGUAGUAGAGUGUAAGCUGAGCUUGGGGAAAACACUGCUGGUAUUGGUAUUACAUCUGCUGUUUGUGUUGCAUUUAGCAACAGGAAUGUCAGGGAAUGGAAUUCCAAAGUUCCUGUGAAAUAUACAGGAGACGGGUAAACUAGAAUGUGGCUCAUCAUGCAACCAGUGAGGAACAUGUGCAUCUUGGUGAAUACAUUGACCACUACCUAUGGAAAAAAAACAAAACAAUUUCCUGUCUGUUCAUCAAGAAAACGUCUGAAAGCUGAAUCUAUAAUGAAGGCAUUUUAAAUCUUGUCCAUGAAAUGUCGGAUGAUACUUCUGAAGUCUGAAUGGGAUAAGUGACUGUUCUCCAAGGGAAUGGCCUUACUAUGUGGUAAAGUCUGUUCAAAAAUUAUACUGACUGUAACUACUGUUUGCUUUGAAAAAGACUGUAUAAAGGAAUACUGCAAGUGUGAACUGAACCCUAGAGAUAUAAUUUUAAAUAGAUUGAAUUUCGCUUCUGUUACUUGCAAUGUUUUGUUACAAGUAAAUACUUUUCCGUUGUCCAUAUAAAUUUAAUUUAGAAACUGAGAGAGGUGUUGACUGGUUUAUUACUGUAAGUGACAUAAAAUGCUACACUGGUGGCUGCAGUAGGCAGAAGGCAUUUUUAUAAGUUCUAACUUUAAACAACCUGAAAGUA
This is a long non-coding RNA of Protopterus annectens (West African lungfish), 1067 nucleotides long. RefSeq lists it as uncharacterized. Lineage: Eukaryota; Metazoa; Chordata; Ceratodontiformes; Protopteridae. The record is from RefSeq and is a predicted model, not a curated record. The transcript has 2 exons.